CCUACGGGAGGCUGCAGUAGGGAAUCUUCCACAAUGGGCGAAAGCCUGAUGGAGCAACGCCGCGUGGGUGAAGAAGGUCUUCGGAUCGUAAAACCCUGUUGUUAGAGAAGAAAGCUCGUGAGAGUAACUGUUCACGUUUCGACGGUAUCUAACCAGAAAGCCACGGCUAACUACGUGCCAGCAGCCGCGGUAAUACGUAGGUGGCAAGCGUUAUCCGGAUUUAUUUGGCGUAAAGGGAACGCAGGCGGUCUUUUAAGUCUGAUGUGAAAGCCUUCGGCUUAACCGGAGUAGUGCAUUGGAAACUGGGAGACUUGAGUGCAGAAGAGGAGAGUGGAACUCCAUGUGUAGCGGUGAAAUGCGUAGAUAUAUGGAAGAACACCAGUGGCGAAAGCGGCUCUCUGGUCUGUAACUGACGCUGAGGUUCGAAGGCGUGGGUAGCAAACAGGAUUAGAUACCCCUGUAGUC
RNAcentral lists this ribosomal RNA (465 nucleotides) under uncultured bacterium. RNAcentral describes it as "partial 16S ribosomal RNA". It matches the Rfam family "Bacterial small subunit ribosomal RNA", at positions 338 to 795 of the family's 1533-position model. The record is from RNAcentral.